This 378-nucleotide unclassified non-coding RNA is filed under the name plant metagenome. RNAcentral's name for it is "partial contains 5.8S ribosomal RNA, internal transcribed spacer 2, and large subunit ribosomal RNA". The stretch from base 1 to 105 matches the Rfam family "5.8S ribosomal RNA", at positions 50 to 154 of the family's 154-position model. The record is from RNAcentral.
GAAAUGCGAUAAGUAAUGUGAAUUGCAGAAUUCAGUGAAUCAUCGAAUCUUUGAACGCACCUUGCGCUCCUUGGUAUUCCUUGGAGCAUGCCUGUUUGAGUAUCAUGAAAUCUUCAAAGUAAAUCUUUUGUUAACUCAAUUGGUUUCUACUUUGGUAUUGGAGGUCUUUGCAGCUUCACACCUGCUCCUCUUUGUUCAUUAGCUGGAUCUCAGUGUUAUGCUUGGUUCCACUCGGCGUGAUAAGUUAUCUAUCGCUGAGGACACUGUAAAAGGUGGCCAAGGUAAAUGCAGAUGAACCGCUUCUAAUAAUCCAUUGACUUGGACAAUACUUUUAUGAUCUGAUCUCGAAUCAGGUAGGACUACCCGCUGAACUUAAGC